RNAcentral lists this ribosomal RNA (586 nucleotides) under uncultured bacterium. RNAcentral's name for it is "bacterial SSU rRNA". It matches the Rfam family "Bacterial small subunit ribosomal RNA", at positions 338 to 916 of the family's 1533-position model. The record is from RNAcentral.
CCUACGGGAGGCAGCAGUGGGGAAUUUUGGACAAUGGGCGCAAGCCUGAUCCAGCAAUGCCGCGUGAGUGAAGAAGGCCUUCGGGUUGUAAAGCUCUUUUGUCAGGGAAGAAAAGGCUACGGAUAAUACCUGUGGCUCAUGACGGUACCUGAAGAAUAAGCACCGGCUAACUACGUGCCAGCAGCCGCGGUAAUACGUAGGGUGCAAGCGUUAAUCGGAAUUACUGGGCGUAAAGCGUGCGCAGGCGGUUUUGUAAGACUGUCGUGAAAUCCCCGGGCUCAACCUGGGAAUGGCGAUGGUGACUGCAAGGCUAGAGUUUGGCAGAGGGGGGUAGAAUUCCACGUGUAGCAGUGAAAUGCGUAGAUAUGUGGAGGAACACCGAUGGCGAAGGCAGCCCCCUGGGUCAAAACUGACGCUCAUGCACGAAAGCGUGGGGAGCAAACAGGAUUAGAUACCCUGGUAGUCCACGCCCUAAACGAUGUCUACUAGUUGUCGGGUCUUAAUUGACUUGGUAACGCAGCUAACGCGUGAAGUAGACCGCCUGGGGAUACGGUCGCAAGNUUAAAACGUNAAAUUGAAUUGACGG